RNAcentral lists this long non-coding RNA (380 nucleotides) under Panax ginseng (ginseng). RNAcentral's name for it is "long non-coding RNA (PGIN_LNC013781)". Lineage: Eukaryota; Viridiplantae; Streptophyta; Magnoliopsida; Apiales; Araliaceae. The record is from RNAcentral.
AAUAUCAAAAAAUUGAUUUUUGAGAAUCUUAGGUUUUAACCCUAAUGGUCAAACCCUAAUGGUCAAACCCUAAGGGUUGUAGCUAAUGUCUAGAAUGCCCUUGAAACUUUAAGUGAAAUUACCAAAAUGCCCUUUUUGUCCCAUUAGUGCAUUAUUGGUGAAUUAUUUGUGCAUUAUUGCUAGCCAUCUCCACAAAAUCUGGCCAAUCACCCUAGAUUUGUCCUAUGAGCUCUAUAAUUGACAGCAAAUCAGAUCAAGCAACAUUAUAUCACAUUACAUAUUGAUUAAGAGAGAGAAAAGUGUACCAAAGUUGCUCAUUUUUCUCUCUUGCUCUCACCAAUUUUUUUCUCUUAAACCCACGAAUUCUUAUAUCAUUUCAG